UACAGAGGUGGCAAGCGUUGUUCGGAAUUACUGGGCGUAAAGCGGGUGUAGGCGGUUCUUUAAGUCAGAUGUGAAAUCCUGCGGCUCAACCGCGGAACUGCAUCUGAUACUGGGGAACUUGAGGACGGUAGAGGUCGGUGGAAUCCCCGGUGUACCGGUGAAAUGGGCAGAUAUCGGGGGGAACACCAGUGGCGAAGGCGGCCGACUGGGCCGAUCCUGACGCUGAGACCCGAAAGCCAGGGUAGCGAACCGG
Molecule: ribosomal RNA, 253 nt
Filed under: uncultured bacterium
Lineage: Bacteria
Description: partial 16S ribosomal RNA
Rfam family: Bacterial small subunit ribosomal RNA
Source: RNAcentral